UUUCUUUCGCACACGGAGAAGGCAAAAAGUCGUUUGCUAGUGGCGUGGAACCUUGGUUAAUAUUUUAUCACAAGUAAACAAAAAAAUCAACUGUGAAAAAUAGAAUUAUAGGAUAUUCUUCUGUAAUUUCCUCUAUUUUUAAUUUGAAAUUAAAAAAAAAAAUUCAAAUAAACUUUGAAAAGCUAAUUUAAAAUGCUUUUAGAGAGAAAUAGUUUCGUUUAACUCUUUAACAG
Molecule: unclassified non-coding RNA, 233 nt
Filed under: Hevea brasiliensis (rubber tree)
Lineage: Eukaryota; Viridiplantae; Streptophyta; Magnoliopsida; Malpighiales; Euphorbiaceae
Source: RNAcentral